CCUACGGGAGGCAGCAGUGGGGAAUUUUGGACAAUGGGGGCAACCCUGAUCCAGCAAUGCCGCGUGAGUGAAGAAGGCCUUCGGGUUGUAAAGCUCUUUUGUCAGGGAAGAAACGGUUGUGGCUAAUAUCCAUGGCUAAUGACGGUACCUGAAGAAUAAGCACCGGCUAACUACGUGCCAGCAGCCGCGGUAAUACGUAGGGUGCAAGCGUUAAUCGGAAUUACUGGGCGUAAAGCGUGCGCAGGCGGUUUUAUAAGACAGAGGUGAAAUCCCCGGGCUCAACCUGGGAACUGCCUUUGUGACUGUAAGGCUAGAGUGUGUCAGAGGGGGGUAGAAUUCCACGUGUAGCAGUGAAAUGCGUAGAUAUGUGGAGGAAUACCGAUGGCGAAGGCAGCCCCCUGGGAUAACACUGACGCUCAUGCACGAAAGCGUGGGGAGCAAACAGGAUUAGAUACCCGAGUAGUC
RNAcentral lists this ribosomal RNA (465 nucleotides) under uncultured Herbaspirillum sp. RNAcentral describes it as "bacterial SSU rRNA". It matches the Rfam family "Bacterial small subunit ribosomal RNA", at positions 338 to 795 of the family's 1533-position model. Lineage: Bacteria; Pseudomonadati; Pseudomonadota; Betaproteobacteria; Burkholderiales; Oxalobacteraceae. The record is from RNAcentral.